RNAcentral lists this long non-coding RNA (512 nucleotides) under Oryctolagus cuniculus (rabbit). RNAcentral's name for it is "lncRNA (ENSOCUG00000035942.1)". The record is from RNAcentral. Lineage: Eukaryota; Metazoa; Chordata; Mammalia; Lagomorpha; Leporidae.
AUGGUGUCAUUCAGGACAGAAGGAGCUCCAGUCCCUUCCUGGAGCUGCAAACCCAAACAAGUUAAAGUGACGUUGUAUGUGAAGCUCGGCAUUUUUACAAUCUUGUAUUUAGUGCCACACAGUCAGAGCAGUGUCAUAUCUGAUCUCCUUAAUGGGAUGAUAAUGUGCUGUAGGAGUAUCUAUCUUCUCCUGCCAAGUGUCCAUGGCAUAUUUGAUGAACAGAUGGCCUUUGUCACACAUGGAUUGUGGAAGUUAUUCAGAAGCAGAUCCUCAGGCAAUAACUCCAAGCCAAACUUUAUCCACACAUCCAGGAACAACAUCCUCACAAAAAGCUGAAUCUCAGAUGAAGAAGAAGGAAAUCACAGUGGACAAUACAGACCUCAAGAGUCGACAAUACGCAUGUUGGGCAUAUUCCAAAUCCAAGAUGCAGAAGUAACAGAAAUCAAAGCAAAAUAAUCACAUAGCUAAUGACACAAACACUGGAUAGAAAUAAAAACUUAAGUGGUAUGACA